UCUCAGAAGCUAAGCAGAGUAGGGCCUGGUUAGUACUUGGAUGGAAGACCGCCUGGGAAUCCCAGGUGCCGUAAGCUUUUUCAUUUCUAUCUGUAAAAGACACAGAGAAGCCCUUAGAAAGUGACUCCAUUUCAUUGUCAAAACUCCAAAACCUUUGACACAUUUUAAAAGAUUAGGUAGAGGACAUACAGUUGCUUACGGCCAUACCUCUCUGGCUCCGCCUGAUCUCGUCUGAUCUCAGAAGCUAAGCAGAGUAGGGCCUGGUUAGUACUUGGAUGGAAGACCGCCUGGGAAUCCCAGGUGCCGUAAGCUUUUUCAUUUCUCUCUCUGGAAGAAAUCGAGCAGGCAUUAGAAAGUGACUCCUUUUUCAUUAUCAAAACUCCAAAACCUUUGACACAUUUUAAAAGAUUAGGAAGAGGACAUACAGUUGCUUACGGCCAUACCUCUCUGGCUCUGCCUGAUCUCGUCUGAUCUCAGAAGCUAAGCAGAGUAGGGCCUGGUUAGUACUUGGAUGGAAGACCGCCUGGGAAUCCCAGGUGCCGUAAGCUUUUUCAUUUCUAUCUGUAAAAGACACAGAGAAGAACUUAGAAAGUGACUCCAUUUCAUUGUCAAAACUACAAAAACUGUGACACAUUUAAAAGAUUAGGAAGAGGACAUACAGUUGCUUACGGCCAUACCUCUCUGCUCCGCCUGAUCUCGUCUGAUCUCAGAAGCUAAGCAGAGUAGGCCCUGGUUAGUACUUGGAUGGAAGACCGCCUGGGAAUCCCAGGUGCCGUAAGCUUUUUCAUUUCUCUCUCUGGAAGAAAUCGAGAAGGCAUUAGAAAGUGACUUCUAUUUCAUUAUCAAAACUCCAAAACCUUUGACACAUUUUAAAAGAUUAGGAAGAGGACAUACAGUUGCUUACGGCCAUACCUCUCUGGCUCCGCCUGAUCUCGUCUGAUCUCAGAAGCUAAGCAGAGUAGGGCCUGGUUAGUACUUGGAUGGAAGACCGCCUGGGAAUCCCAGGUGCCGUAAGCUUUUUCAUUUCUAUCUGUAAAAGACACAGAGAAGGCCUUAGAAAGUGACUCCAUUUCAUUGUCAAAACUCCAAAACCUUUGACACAUUUUAAAAGAUUAGGAAGAGGACAUACAGUUGCUUACGGCCAUACCUCUCUGGCUCCGCCUGAUCUCGUCUGAUCUCAGAAGCUAAGCAGAGUAGGGCCUGGUUAGUACUUGGAUGGAAGACCGCCUGGGAAUCCCAGGUGCCGUAAGCUUUUUCAUUUCUCUCUCUGGAAGAAAUUGAGAAGGCAUUAGAAAGUGAAUCCUUUUUCAUUAUCAAAACUCCAAAACCUUUGACACAUUUAAAAGAUUAGGAAGAGGACAUACAGUUGCUUACGGCCAUACCUCUCUGGCUCCGCCUGAUCUCGUCUGAUCUCAGAAGCUAAGCAGAGUAGGGCCUGGUUAGUACUGGAUGGAAGACCGCCUGGGAAUCCCAGGUGCCGUAAGCUUUUUCAUUUCUAUCUGUAAAAGACACAGAGAAGAACUUAGAAAGUGACUCCAUUUCAUUGUCAAAACUCCAAAACCUUUGACACAUUUUAAAAGAUUAGGAAGAGGGCAUACAGUUGCUUACGGCCAUACCU
Long non-coding RNA from Gasterosteus aculeatus aculeatus (three-spined stickleback), 1618 nucleotides. Lineage: Eukaryota; Metazoa; Chordata; Actinopteri; Perciformes; Gasterosteidae. The record is from Ensembl.